RNAcentral lists this ribosomal RNA (739 nucleotides) under Polyporus subvarius. RNAcentral's name for it is "eukaryotic LSU rRNA". It matches the Rfam family "Eukaryotic large subunit ribosomal RNA", at positions 142 to 869 of the family's 3401-position model. Lineage: Eukaryota; Fungi; Basidiomycota; Agaricomycetes; Polyporales; Polyporaceae. The record is from RNAcentral.
GUUGUAGUCUGGAGAAGUGCUUUCCGUGCUGGACCGUGUACAAGUCUCUUGGAAUAGAGCGUCAUAGAGGGUGAGAAUCCCGUCUUUGACACGGACUACCAGUGCUUUGUGAUGCGCUCUCAAAGAGUCGAGUUGUUUGGGAAUGCAGCUCAAAAUGGGUGGUAAAUUCCAUCUAAAGCUAAAUAUUGGCGAGAGACCGAUAGCGAACAAGUACCGUGAGGGAAAGAUGAAAAGCACUUUGGAAAGAGAGUUAAACAGUACGUGAAAUUGCUGAAAGGGAAACGCUUGAAGUCAGUCGCGUCAUUUGGAACUCAGCCUUGCUUUUGCUUGGUGCACUUUCUGAAUGACGGGCCAGCAUCAAUUUCAACCGUUGGAAAAAGGUUGGGGGAAUGUGGCACCUUCGGGUGUGUUAUAGCCUCUGGUCACAUACGACGGUUGGGAUUGAGGACCGCAGCACGCCGCAAGGCAGGGGAUAUACCCACUUUCGUGCUUAGGAUGCUGGCAUAAUGGCUUUAAACGACCCGUCUUGAAACACGGACCAAGGAGUCUAACAUGCCUGCGAGUGUUUGGGUGGAAAACCCGAGCGCGUAAUGAAAGUGAAAGUUGAGACCUCUGUUGUGGAGGGCAUCGACGCCCGGACCUGACGUUCUCUGAAGGAUCCGCGGUAGAGCAUGUAUGUUGGGACCCGAAAGAUGGUGAACUAUGCCUGAAUAGGGUGAAGCCAGAGGAAACUCUGGUG